GCCUCGGUGGCGGAAUUGGUAGACGCAGCAGAUUCAAAAUCUGCCGCCUUCGGGUGUGCCGGUUCGAGUCCGGCCCGAGGUA
This 82-nucleotide transfer RNA is filed under the name Nitratifractor salsuginis DSM 16511. It matches the Rfam family "tRNA". From Rfam's summary of the family: Transfer RNA (tRNA) molecules are approximately 80 nucleotides in length. Their secondary structure includes four short double-helical elements and three loops (D, anti-codon, and T loops). Further hydrogen bonds mediate the characteristic L-shaped molecular structure. tRNAs have two regions of fundamental functional importance: the anti-codon, which is responsible for specific mRNA codon recognition, and the 3' end, to which the tRNAs corresponding amino acid is attached (by aminoacyl-tRNA synthetases). tRNAs cope with the degeneracy of the genetic code in two manners: having more than one tRNA (with a specific anti-codon) for a particular amino acid; and 'wobble' base-pairing, i.e. permitting non-standard base-pairing at the 3rd anti-codon position. The record is from Rfam by way of RNAcentral. Lineage: Bacteria; Pseudomonadati; Campylobacterota; Epsilonproteobacteria; Campylobacterales; Sulfurovaceae.